GAGGAUGAGGAAGAAGAGGUUGGAGAAGAAGAAGGCUUAAGCCUUUAUCUGCUUGCAACCAUGGUCAGAAUCGCCAGAGAAGUGUUUCAAGAAUGAGACCCCCACAUGCUUUGUUUGUUGCAGUUUGCCAACGAUAUUGAUGGGAAGUAUGGCAGUUUAUAAAAACCUUCUUGCACAGGUGUAGAAGCAGCGCCAGCAACUUCCCUUAGGCAUGUUACCAGAUAACUAGCAACCCUUUAUUGCUCAGUGACUGUUUUUUUGUCAAUAUCUUUAUGUCUCCAAAGUGUUCUCUGUCAAUUGACUGUCUGUUGUCGUACUAGAGCGGCUCCAACUACCGGAGACAAAUUGUGUUUUUUGGACAUACUUGGCAAAUAAAGAUGAUUCUGAUAAAGGGUUGCCUUCAGAAGUAAUGCUCUUCUUCGCUGAGCAGUACAGUAUCAUCAUCAUCACCUUCAACAUCAACGCACCUUCGUCGGCUGCGCACCUGUCACCAAUCAGCCCUCGUUACCACCUACAUUUAAGCCUGCCUGAUCCUGAUACCUUGCCAGAGGAUUGAAGCGUCCAAACGUGUAUCCUCCAUGUCCUUCCCCAAGUGGAUCUCUGCCACCUCACCGUCAAGCCAGCCACCCGUGCUCGUCACUGCCUGCCACGUAUUCUCUGCCUCAACAACCUGCCAGCGCAUCUCAAGGAACAUCUACAUUUCUCUUUUCAAUAAACUGUUCAUCACAAGCUUUCAGCCUCUGUCUUCUCUUGGAUCCAGUCUCCAUCCAAUUCAUGACAGAAUACUCUGGCCAAAAAUGGACCCAGCAAACCCGGAGGCGCUGAAACACGCUAUCACCCUCCAAGGCGCCCACAUAAGGCGACAAGAUAAAACUCUUCAGGAAAUCAUGGAAUCUUUACACUCCCUUAAGCAACAAGUAUCCCUCCUGUCUUCGAAAAUGCAAUCCAACCUUCUUCCCGUAAGUACUCCUUCCGAGCCUGCAGCUUCCCAGCCACUCCACCUCCCGUACAAAGAACCUCAUGUGCCUCCGCCCAAGCCCUAUUCUGAGGACCGAGGUACAUGGAGCCAGUUUUUACCUAAUUGCUCACUAGUUUGCAACCUUCAACCGUACAGUUAUCCCACUGAACAAUCCAAGGUCACAUUUGUCACGAACCUCCUCCACGGCAAAGCAGUCUAAUGGUCCACCACGUUAUGGCACAACUCCUCUCCGGUACUCCAGUCAGUCGAUUAUUUUUCUGCCGAACUAAAAAAGGUAUCACCCCAUUCAGGGCAGAGAAGCCACCCGCCGCCUCCUUAUGCUCUCUCAGGGCGCUAGUGCCGUAGCUGCAUAUGCGAUUGAAUUUAGGAUACUUGCGGGUGAAUGUGAUUGGUAUGACGCUGCGCUUAGGGUGAUUUUUCUAAACGGACUUUCUGAGCAACUCAAACAUGUGCUCGCUGCCUGGGACGAGCCCUCCUCUCUCCAGGAUCUUAUAGCACUCGCCAUCCGCAAAGAUAACAGACCGCGAGAGAGAGCACAGGAGAGGGGAGUCCGAGCACAUAAGAUCACUCCCACCGUGAGCACCGCGCUGUCAGCAUCUCACCGGCCUUCUUGCACCACCUACUGCCCCUUCGUCACCCCCUACACCUAAUGAGCCCAUUCAAAUUGGUAACACCCGAAUAGACACCAGGAACGUCAGCGUGGUGUCAUCCAGGGGCUGUGCAUUUAUUACGGUAAAUCAGGUAAUUUCAUCAUCACUUGCGAUGAAAAGAGCCGCCACGAGCCGAGAGCGCCAUGGUGAACCAAACCACUAUUUCUUCUGGCUCUCCGUGCAGAUGAUAAUUGUAUUCACAAAGGUAUAGCACAUCAGCUCCAACUCCCUCUAUUGUUCUAUUAGUCAUUUCAAACUGCUCUAAUUGCUAGAAGACUCUCCAGAUUUUUGCACAGUUUAAAAAAAAAAAAAAAAACAAUUGUACUGGCAUUACCAUAUUACUGGAAACCUUUUAUUGCUCAGUGGACUGUGUUUUGAAUGUCUUUAUGUCUCAGAAGUAUUCUCUGUCAAUUGACUGUAUG
This is a long non-coding RNA of Phycodurus eques (leafy seadragon), 2051 nucleotides long. RefSeq lists it as uncharacterized. Lineage: Eukaryota; Metazoa; Chordata; Actinopteri; Syngnathiformes; Syngnathidae. The record is from RefSeq and is a predicted model, not a curated record. The transcript is spliced from 3 exons.